UACGGGGGGAGCAAGCGUUGUUCGGAUUUACUGGGCGUAAAGGGCGCGUAGGCGGUCAGCACAAGUCAGUUGUGAAAUCUCCGGGCUUAACCCGGAAAGGUCAACUGAUACUGUGCGACUAGAGUGCGGAAGGGGCAACUGGAAUUCUUGGUGUAGCGGUGAAAUGCGUAGAUAUCAAGAGGAACACCUGCGGCGAGGGCGGGUUGCUGGGCCGACACUGACGCUGAAGCGCGAAAGCCAGGGGAGCGAACGGG
RNAcentral lists this ribosomal RNA (254 nucleotides) under uncultured bacterium. RNAcentral describes it as "partial 16S ribosomal RNA". It matches the Rfam family "Bacterial small subunit ribosomal RNA", at positions 524 to 776 of the family's 1533-position model. The record is from RNAcentral.